This 192-nucleotide antisense RNA is filed under the name Pantoea ananatis. RNAcentral describes it as "Yersinia sRNA 251". It matches the Rfam family "Yersinia sRNA 251". Rfam says of the family: Antisense to phoH gene. Trimmed on 5'end from the original size. The record is from RNAcentral. Lineage: Bacteria; Pseudomonadati; Pseudomonadota; Gammaproteobacteria; Enterobacterales; Erwiniaceae.
GUAAGCAUGCAAAGUGCGCUGACACAGCGCGGAACGCACGCAAUCCUCUUUGCCAAAACGGACAAUGCCCACCAUCUCGUCCUCUUCAAAACGCGCCAGCGCGUCCGCGAGACCAGAAGGCACCCCAGCGGGCAAAUCGCACUGGGUUAUAUCGCCGUUAACAAUCACCGUGACGUUUUCGCCAAGGCGGGU